This 387-nucleotide ribosomal RNA is filed under the name uncultured bacterium glc12. RNAcentral describes it as "bacterial SSU rRNA". It matches the Rfam family "Bacterial small subunit ribosomal RNA", at positions 1129 to 1515 of the family's 1533-position model. The record is from RNAcentral.
AGUUGGGCACUCUAGUGAGACUGCCGGUGACAAACCGGAGGAAGGUGGGGAUGACGUCAAGUCCUCAUGGCCCUUAUGUGUAGGGCUACACACGUCAUACAAUGGUCGGUACAGAGGGUUGCCAACCCGCGAGGGGGAGCUAAUCUCACAAAGCCGAUCGUAGUCCGGAUCGCAGUCUGCAACUCGACUGCGUGAAGUCGGAAUCGCUAGUAAUCGUGGAUCAGCAUGUCACGGUGAAUACGUUCCCGGGUCUUGUACACACCGCCCGUCACACCAUGGGAGUGGAAUCCGCCAGAAGUAGGUAGCCUAACCGCAAGGAGGGCGCUUACCACGGUAGGUUUCAUGACUGGGGUGAAGUCGUAACAAGGUAGCCGUAUCGGAAGGUGU